GUCGAGCGGAUGAGAGGAGCUUGCUCCUGGAUUCAGCGGCGGACGGGUGAGUAAUGCCUAGGAAUCUGCCUGGUAGUGGGGGACAACGUUUCGAAAGGAACGCUAAUACCGCAUACGUCCUACGGGAGAAAGCAGGGGACCUUCGGGCCUUGCGCUAUCAGAUGAGCCUAGGUCGGAUUAGCUAGUUGGUGAGGUAAUGGCUCACCAAGGCGACGAUCCGUAACUGGUCUGAGAGGAUGAUCAGUCACACUGGAACUGAGACACGGUCCAGACUCCUACGGGAGGCAGCAGUGGGGAAUAUUGGACAAUGGGCGAAAGCCUGAUCCAGCCAUGCCGCGUGUGUGAAGAAGGUCUUCGGAUUGUAAAGCACUUUAAGUUGGGAGGAAGGGUUGUAGAUUAAUACUCUGCGAUUUUGACGUUACCGACAGAAUAAGCACCGGCUAACUCUGUGCCAGCAGCCGCGGUAAUACAGAGGGUGCAAGCGUUAAUCGGAAUUACUGGGCGUAAAGCGCGCGUAGGUGGUUUGUUAAGUUGGAUGUGAAAUCCCCGGGCUCAACCUGGGAACUGCAUCCAAAACUGGCAAGCUAGAGUAUGGUAGAGGGUGGUGGAAUUUCCUGUGUAGCGGUGAAAUGCGUAG
Molecule: ribosomal RNA, 637 nt
Filed under: Pseudomonas sp. G1_12
Lineage: Bacteria; Pseudomonadati; Pseudomonadota; Gammaproteobacteria; Pseudomonadales; Pseudomonadaceae
Description: bacterial SSU rRNA
Rfam family: Bacterial small subunit ribosomal RNA
Source: RNAcentral